CCCAGCGUGAAGGCCUUAUCACUCCGGUGUUAAGCGGUGCCACGUUAAUGACUUGUCAUAGUGCUUUGCUGAAGCUUCAUGGAUGCUUUUGAAUAAGCUUCAUUUUAGCCAAAGAGGGUGCAAGCCCCUUGGUGUUGUGGAUGCAAAGCAUGGACUUGUCAUGAUAGAGUCGGGUUGCUUGAAAGUGCAACCUAAAUCAGAUGGUAAGCUCCAUCUAAGGCUAAAUAUCGCUGUGAGACCGAUAGCAAACAAGUACCGUGAGGGAAAGUUGCAAAGAACUUUGAAGAGAGAGUUCAAUAGGACGUGAAACCGUUUGCAGGUAAACAGAUGGACCCACGAAGUCCAGUUGAACAGGAAAUUCAUAUUUUUCGAACAGUUCUCUACUGAUUAACUCUUCUGUAAAGAGGAUUUAGUUGGUUUGAAAACUGUCGAGAGAUGCAUUUCUCCUGUUCACGCUGGAGCUCUGACUGCUCUUUGACUUAAGUCGUGUAAGGCAGCUCUGGAUUGUGAGAUAUUUCUCAGGAAAUAUUUCUACUUUCUAGAGUUCAUGAUGUAGUCAAAUGAGCAGGUGAAUUACUCAUUGAAUGUGAGUAUUUAGGUUGUCGAUAUCUCUGCUUAAGUAGGGUGUGCUGGUCUUUGAAUUUUCGACUCUUGCAGUUGAAUUGGGAAGCAGUGCA
This 677-nucleotide ribosomal RNA is filed under the name Arrenurus lyriger. RNAcentral's name for it is "eukaryotic LSU rRNA". It matches the Rfam family "Eukaryotic large subunit ribosomal RNA", at positions 108 to 630 of the family's 3401-position model. The record is from RNAcentral. Lineage: Eukaryota; Metazoa; Arthropoda; Arachnida; Trombidiformes; Arrenuridae.